UCUCCUGGAAACGGGUGGUAAUGCCGGAUGCUCCAUCACACCGCAUGGUGUGUUGGGAAAGCCUUUGCGGCAUGGGAUGGGGUCGCGUCCUAUCAGCUUGAUGGCGGGGUAACGGCCCACCAUGGCUUCGACGGGUAGCCGGCCUGAGAGGGCGACCGGCCACAUUGGGACUGAGAUACGGCCCAGACUCCUACGGGAGGCAGCAGUGGGGAAUAUUGCACAAUGGGCGCAAGCCUGAUGCAGCGACGCCGCGUGAGGGAUGGAGGCCUUCGGGUUGUAAACCUCUUUUGUUAGGGAGCAAGGCAUUUUGUGUUGAGUGUACCUUUCGAAUAAGCACCGGCUAACUACGUGCCAGCAGCCGCGGUAAUACGUAGGGUGCAAGCGUUAUCCGGAAUUAUUGGGCGUAAAGGGCUCGUAGGCGGUUCGUCGCGUCCGGUGUGAAAGUCCAUCGCUUAACGGUGGAUCCGCGCCGGGUACGGGCGGGCUUGAGUGCGGUAGGGGAGACUGGAAUUCCCGGUGUAACGGUGGAAUGUGUAGAUAUCGGGAAGAACACC
Molecule: ribosomal RNA, 554 nt
Filed under: Bifidobacterium breve
Lineage: Bacteria; Bacillati; Actinomycetota; Actinomycetes; Bifidobacteriales; Bifidobacteriaceae
Description: bacterial SSU rRNA
Rfam family: Bacterial small subunit ribosomal RNA
Source: RNAcentral